AUUGAACGCUGGCGGCAGGCUUAACACAUGCAAGUCGAGCGGGGUGAUGGUGCUUGCACUAUCACUUAGCGGCGGACGGGUGAGUAAUGCUUAGGAAUCUGCCUAUUAGUGGGGGACAACAUCUCGAAAGGGAUGCUAAUACCGCAUACGUCCUACGGGAGAAAGCAGGGGAUCACUUGUGACCUUGCGCUAAUAGAUGAGCCUAAGUCGGAUUAGCUAGUUGGUGGGGUAAAGGCCUACCAAGGCGACGAUCUGUAGCGGGUCUGAGAGGAUGAUCCGCCACACUGGGACUGAGACACGGCCCAGACUCCUACGGGAGGCAGCAGUGGGGAAUAUUGGACAAUGGGGGGAACCCUGAUCCAGCCAUGCCGCGUGUGUGAAGAAGGCCUUAUGGUUGUAAAGCACUUUAAGCGAGGAGGAGGCUCUUUUGGUUAAUACCAAGAUGAGUGGACGUUACUCGCAGAAUAAGCACCGGCUAACUCUGUGCCAGCAGCCGCCGCAG
RNAcentral lists this ribosomal RNA (502 nucleotides) under uncultured bacterium. RNAcentral's name for it is "partial 16S ribosomal RNA". It matches the Rfam family "Bacterial small subunit ribosomal RNA", at positions 30 to 523 of the family's 1533-position model. The record is from RNAcentral.